GACGUAGGGCGCGAGCGUUGUCCGGAUUUAUUGGGCGUAAAGAGCUCGUAGGCGGUUUGUCGCGUCGGCCGUGAAAACUUGGGGCUUAACUCCAAGCUUGCGGUCGAUACGGGCAGUCUUGAGUUCGGCAGGGGAGACUGGAAUUCCUGGUGUAGCGGUGAAAUGCGCAGAUAUCAGAAGGAACACCGGUGGCGAAGGCGGGUCUCUGGGCCGAUACUGACGCUGAGGAGCGAAAGCGUGGGGAGCGAACAGG
RNAcentral lists this ribosomal RNA (253 nucleotides) under uncultured bacterium. RNAcentral's name for it is "partial 16S ribosomal RNA". It matches the Rfam family "Bacterial small subunit ribosomal RNA", at positions 524 to 776 of the family's 1533-position model. The record is from RNAcentral.